This 492-nucleotide ribosomal RNA is filed under the name uncultured bacterium. RNAcentral describes it as "partial 16S ribosomal RNA". It matches the Rfam family "Bacterial small subunit ribosomal RNA", at positions 29 to 507 of the family's 1533-position model. The record is from RNAcentral.
AGUGAACGCUGGCGGUAGGCCUAACACAUGCAAGUCGAACGGCAGCACAGUAAGAGCUUGCUCUUACGGGUGGCGAGUGGCGGACGGGUGAGGAAUACAUCGGAAUCUACUUUUUCGUGGGGGAUAACGUAGGGAAACUUACGCUAAUACCGCAUACGACCUACGGGUGAAAGCAGGGGAUCUUCGGACCUUGCGCGAUUGAAUGAGCCGAUGUCGGAUUAGCUAGUUGGCGGGGUAAAGGCCCACCAAGGCGACGAUCCGUAGCUGGUCUGAGAGGAUGAUCAGCCACACUGGAACGUGGACACGGUCCAGACUCCUGCGGGAGGCCGCAGUGGGGAAUAUUGGACAAUGGGCGCAAGCCUGAUCCAGCCAUACCGAGUGGGUGACGAAGGCCUUCGGGUUGUAAAGCCCUUUUGUUGGGAAAGAAACGCAGCAGGUUAAUACCCCGCUGUUCUGACGGUACCCAAAGAAUAAGCACCGGCUAACUUCGUG